This 253-nucleotide ribosomal RNA is filed under the name uncultured bacterium. Its description in RNAcentral is "partial 16S ribosomal RNA". It matches the Rfam family "Bacterial small subunit ribosomal RNA", at positions 524 to 776 of the family's 1533-position model. The record is from RNAcentral.
UACGAAGGGGGCGAGCGUUGUUCGGAAUUACUGGGCGUAAAGGGCGCGUAGGCGGCCGAUCAAGUCAGAUGUGAAAGUCCUGGGCUUAACCUAGGGACUGCAUUUGAUACUGAUUGGCUUGAAUGCAGGAGAGGAUAGCGGAAUUCCCAGUGUAGAGGUGAAAUUCGUAGAUAUUGGGAAGAACACCGGUGGCGAAGGCGGCUAUCUGGACUGUGAUUGACGCUGAGGCGCGAAAGCGUGGGGAGCAAACAGG